GCCUAUGCCACCUGUGUCGGUACGUCGUUCUGCAGGCCCGAGUAGUUCCGCUGCGACAACUCGUUCAGAGGUUCAGGUCGGUUCAAGUGUACCUCCUGCUCAGAGUGACCUUGUACCACCAGUUUUUUCCUUGUCCCCAUCAGAGCAACCUGGCACCAGUCAGCAGGUUCUGUGUCGGACUGCUCGCUCUACAGCUGGUUAACAUUCCAACGUUCACCAUCUUCCGCUGUCUGCGGGUCAGCUGGGUAAUCCACCACAGCCGGCGCAGCCUAUGUCUAAUGUCCAGAUAGCCGUUUUCAGACCCUGGUGGUAGUUUGUUUGUUGGUUCAUCGUCGGGGCGGCGAUGCAAAAUCUGGGGGUAGAUGUGGCAGAGUGUUUCCUGCGGCCAUCACUCGCCGAGUCUGGGCAGCUGCUUCCUCCUGCUGUCGCCGACAUACGGUUGCCCUGCUCUCCGUACGCGGUCACAACGUUGCCGUUGUCUGCGCUGCUGCUGUCUUGGCUGCUGUUGAUUUCUCGGAGUGUAACACUGAAAUAAGUGUUUCAUUGAAGAACACCACGGGCGCUUUCACGGGACUGUGUGAGGCGAAAUAACUGCCCGGUGGCUUUGCUCGGGCCUCCAUCGGCGCACCGUUUCAGCUGUCUGCUGGCUCGUGUUUAUAUACAUGCGCAGACACAUUAUGAGUCUAAUUGUUUGAUUUAUCUCCCCUACUUUUGUUAUUUUCUCUAUUGACUAUUAAGUUUGUGUUUUGAUUGUUUUGAUUUAUUGUGUUAAAUUGUUUUGUUUCUGUUGUUUAAUUUGGGUUAUAGUGGUAUGAGGGCUGCCAGUAUUGCAUGAGUUUAAUUGUGUGUGUGUUCUCAUUUUGUUACAGGUGCUGAGGGCCCCAGAACGGCAGCGGUUCCCUGGUGGUGGAUCCUUUUUUCACUUUUGGUUUGCUGUUUCACGGGUGUUGUGUAGUUUUGGAUCCCUCCCCUUUUUGUUUCCGCUGUCGUGGUAAGCCCCAGCCCUGUCCUUAUUUCCUUUUGGCAGUCCCCAUACCACUGAUAUUUUCCCUUAUUUAGUUUGUUCCUUACUUAGUCUGCUUUCAUUUAGUCUGUUUUAAUAACUGUUAAUAAAGUAUUUUUAUAUUGUGAAAUCACGUUCUCGUGUCCUGUGGAUAAUUCGAACCGC
Notolabrus celidotus (New Zealand spotty) is the source of this 1168-nucleotide long non-coding RNA. RefSeq lists it as uncharacterized. The record is from RefSeq and is a predicted model, not a curated record. The transcript has 3 exons. NCBI's taxonomy places the organism in Eukaryota, Metazoa, Chordata, Actinopteri, Labriformes, Labridae.